RNAcentral lists this non-coding RNA (22 nucleotides) under Arabidopsis thaliana (thale cress). The record is from RNAcentral. Lineage: Eukaryota; Viridiplantae; Streptophyta; Magnoliopsida; Brassicales; Brassicaceae.
CUGUUUUCCCGUUUUACCCUUA